AAUUAUAUAUAUAUAUAUAUAUAUAUAUAUAUAUAUAUAUAUAAUAUACACACACAUACACGUGUUAGCACUCUGUGUGAGCUAGCGUAUCUCUCACCAUAGUCAGUAUGAGUAUGUAACAGUUGCUGUGGUCAUUGAUAUGCUCGACAGGUGUGUUACUGUCGCUGUUGCUAUGGAGAUUUACAAUAUGGCACACUUGACACUAUCACCAAGGAGACUUAGCACUUCGUAUCUUUUCAGCAAUCAAACGCAGUUUGCUCCAAGAUAGCACACUUGUCUUAGCAUAAACUCUGUAAGUGCAGGUUAUUAUGAGUACGUGUGUCCAUUGUGCAGUAAAAGGUGAAGUCAGACGAGUUCACACCAGGUUGCCUGACUGACCGAGCUUUUUCACUGAGCAGUUGCUCUGCGAGCGAGACAAUUUCUGUUGCUUCUCAGACACAGAGCAGCUGUCCUGGGGCGAUGGGGCUCCAUAACACUUCUUUAAUAUGUAGUUCAGAGUAGCAGUCAUUUUUAGCACAUACUAUCUGCAUGUGUUAAUGUGUCUUACUGAGGUAUAUUUAUAUUUAUAACACAAUUGCCUUUCACCAAACUGGUACUACAAAGAGAGGAAAAAAACUAUUUUGCAUAUCUGAAAAGAAUUGAAUUACAUAGAGAGGGGGAAAAGUGUAUUUUUAUAAGGCUGUGAAUUUAAAAUGAAAAAAAAAAAACUGAUUAAAUUAGGGGUAUGUUUUACUCCUGUAACUUAUUUCAGAGGCUUCCUAUUAGGCUGACUGAAGUGCCUUGGCUAAGAGGCACAUUUCCAGGCAGAGUUGAGCAGCAGUAUUGGUGAAAGGAUAAGCAGAGUGUUUGUCUUAUUUGUGAAAGGUCGGAUGCUGGCUGUCCCUAUAACUGCUUGCCACGUCUUCCCUGACCACUGUAUCUGUGGAGCUGAGGUUAGAGGACUAAACAGAGUUUGGUGUCCAAGAAAGAAUUAGCCUUUAUAUGUGAAAAAUUAUUUGGAUUAAAGGAAAAAACAUAUUUUUUUUGCUAGCUGAAGGGUCACAUCAGUGUUCCAAAAGGCCAUACCUUAAACUGAAGCACUUUUUUAACCAAAAAAAAAAAUCUAUAAUCACAGAUGUCUUGGCUUUGGCCUCUAUUGGAACAAUAAUAUUAUUCAGCAAUAUCUUAAACUUGCUUUAUGUGCUGAGGGCUUGUUCCUGACCAAAGCUACUGACUCCCAUCUGUUAACCACUCUGUGAAAUCUGUUCAUUCCUAAAAAUCAGCAGGGGCCAUCAGAGACCAUUCCUGCUGAAGACUUCUUUCUUAUGUUCUCAGGUAUUGGACUAUAUUGGCUAUACCAACAUAUGAGAAUUUUCCAUCACAGAGACUUGAUUGCACUUGUUAUGCUAAUCAGUCUACAGUUGGUGGUGAGAAGUGCUUAUUAUGGAAAACAGAAACCUAAGGGCUAAUUUACAUUACUGCUCAAGAUGUUUGGUAGGGAACAAGCCUGAAGUAAAGAAUUCCAGUCCUAAAAUAGGAAUAGUCCGUAUGUUAUUGCCUGCACAACAAUGAGCACGUUUCUCAUUCCAUCCAGACUGCGGACAAAUAUUAAGAUAUUUCUGAACUUUAGUUCUAGAGAGGAGAUACAAGAACAGAAGUAAUGAAUUCCUAAAACUUUACCUCAGAAUACCCAAUGUUUGGAGUUCAUACUGUUAUUUGUGGUGAAAAUGGUUGUACUUUGAAAAGUGCCGAAAUGUUAAAGAGGUUCACAAAAGUGUGUGAAAGUUAAAAUUAUUGAGUUAUAUUUGCACAAAACUACUGGAACUCCUGUUUUCUCCUGUGACUUAUGCUUUUUAUAAUCUAUACGUUGUAUUUAUGAGAUUAAAUAAUCCAUUAAACUAUUUAUAACCC
Long non-coding RNA from Ictalurus punctatus (channel catfish), 1890 nucleotides. Lineage: Eukaryota; Metazoa; Chordata; Actinopteri; Siluriformes; Ictaluridae. The record is from Ensembl.